This 629-nucleotide ribosomal RNA is filed under the name Scelio fulgidus. RNAcentral describes it as "SSU rRNA". It matches the Rfam family "Eukaryotic small subunit ribosomal RNA", at positions 382 to 950 of the family's 1831-position model. Lineage: Eukaryota; Metazoa; Arthropoda; Insecta; Hymenoptera; Scelionidae. The record is from RNAcentral.
UCCGGAGAGGGAGCCUGAGAAACGGCUACCACAUCCAAGGAAGGCAGCAGGCGCGCAAAUUACCCACUCCCGGCACGGGGAGGUAGUGACGAAAAAUAACGAUACGGGACUCAUCCGAGGCCCCGUAAUCGGAAUGAGUACACUUUAAAUCCUUUAACGAGGAGCAAUUGGAGGGCAAGUCUGGUGCCAGCAGCCGCGGUAAUUCCAGCUCCAAUAGCGUAUAUUAAAGUUGUUGCGGUUAAAAAGCUCGUAGUUGAAUCUGUGUGUCACGCUGUCGGUUCACCGCUCGUCGGUGUUUAACUGAUACGCUCGUGACACGUCCUACCGGUGGGCCUGUGUCUUUGGGCCGCUUGUCGGUGCUUAGCGCGGGUCCUACUUUAAUCCCAUCGCGGUGCUCUUUACCGAGUGUCGAGGUGGGCCGGUACGUUUACUUUGAACAAAUUAGAGUGCUUAAAGCAGGCAAUUAUCGUCUGAAUACUGUGUGCAUGGAAUAAUGGAAUAGGACCUCGGUUCUAUUUUGUUGGUUUUCGGAACUCCGAGGUAAUGAUUAAUAGGGACAGAUGGGGGCAUUCGUAUUGCGACGUUAGAGGUGAAAUUCUUGGAUCGUCGCAAGACGAACAGAAGCGAAA